This is a long non-coding RNA of Lathyrus oleraceus (garden pea), 559 nucleotides long. RefSeq lists it as uncharacterized. NCBI's taxonomy places the organism in Eukaryota, Viridiplantae, Streptophyta, Magnoliopsida, Fabales, Fabaceae. The transcript is spliced from 2 exons. The record is from RefSeq and is a predicted model, not a curated record.
AAAGAAUAAUUGAGAAAUAUUUUACUUAAUUUCUAAAUACAAAUAUUUUGGGUCAGACAAAUAAAAUAGAACAACAAAAGCCCCAAUUCAAUUUCAUUUGGGGAAUAGAACGAAAUCGGAGGAAGAAUUAAGAAGAAGAAAAAGAUGAUCUAUCGGAAGUGGAGUCUCCUUACAGGUCCGACGGCUAUCCUCGCUGGCGUAGUUGCUACAGUCGCCGUCGCUAACUUCAUCUUGGUCAAGAAUGACCCAUUCACUAAACCAGAGGAGAGGAAGUUUGGAAAUCAACCUGCAACCAAGUAGUAGAAAAGAUGUCACUGUGGUUUGUGUUUUGAUGUAAUCUAAACAUUGAUUUAUGUAUGCUGUUUUGCAAGACAUAUGCUCUCUUAGUUAAUAAAUUCUCAGGUGUCGAGUGGAGUCUGGAUUCUGUAGCAUGGACCCUGGUUUGGAACUAAACUAAAAAAGUUAAAGAACUGGUUCAUAUUUCAGAGAUCCAUAGUUCUUCUUUUGUACAACAAUGUCAAAUGCAAAUGUGUAAUAAUCUUCCGUUUCUUUUCUUUUA